GGUGUCUAAUUCUUUUCAGACAUCAUCAUGAAAACUUUGUUGGCUAUCAAGACGACAACCUCUUUCAGGAUGAGAUGAGGUAUUUGCGCUCAACUUCAGUACCUGCACCUUAUAUAUCUGUUACUCCUGAUGCCAGUCCUAAUGUCUUUGAGGAGCCAGAAAGUAACAUGAAAUCCAUGCCACCAAGUUUAGAGACUAGUCCCAUCACAGAUACAGAUUUAGCAAAGCGCACAGUUUUUUCAGAGGUCGUAUUCAGUCGUUGCAUCGGAAUAUGAUAAACAACAUUCCAUUUUACCUGCACGAGUAAAGGCUAUCCCCAGAAGGAGAGUCAACAGUGGAGAUGCAGAAGUGGGGUCCUCUCUCCUGAGACAUCCAUCUCCUGAACUUUCUCGGUUAAUCUCCGCCCACAGCUCUCUUUCCAAAGGAGAGAGAAAUUUCCAGUGGCCUGUUCUGGCAUUUGUAAUCCAACAUCAUGACUUGGAGGGACUUGAAAUUGCAAUGAAACAAGCUUUAAGAAAAUCAGCUUGCCGGGUGUUUGCUAUGGAGGCUUUUAACUGGCUUCUCUGCAAUGUCAUUCAAACAACAUCUCUUCAUGAUAUUUAUGGCAUUUUGUGGCUUCUCUGACUCCUGCCCCUGUGGAGCCAGAGGAAGAAGAGGAUGAAGAGAACAAAGCAAACAAAGAAAACGCUGAACAAGAAAAGGAUACAAGAGUCUGUGAGCAUCCGUUGUCCGACAUAGUGAUUGCUGGUGAAGCAGCUCAUCCUUUGCCCCAUACUUUCCACCGUUUGCUACAGACCAUCUCUGACCUCA
Non-coding RNA from Podarcis muralis (Common wall lizard), 810 nucleotides. NCBI's taxonomy places the organism in Eukaryota, Metazoa, Chordata, Lepidosauria, Squamata, Lacertidae. The record is from RefSeq and is a predicted model, not a curated record.